GAUGAACGCUGGCGGCGUGCCUAACACAUGCAAGUCGAACGUGAGGGGGUAGCAAUAUCCCUGAAAGUGGCGCACGGGUGAGUAAUACGUAGGUGACCUGCCCUGGAGUGGGGGAUAACAGCUAGAAAUGGCUGCUAAUACCGCAUAAUACGAGAAUGCUGGGAAGUGUUCUGGUAAAAACUCUGGUGCUUCAGGAGGGGCCUGCGGCCGAUUAGCUAGUUGGCGGGGUAAGAGCCCACCAAGGCAGUGAUCGGUAGCUGGUCUGAGAGGACGAUCAGCCACACGGGAACUGAGACACGGUCCCGACUCCUACGGGGGGCAGCAGUGAGGAAUAUUGGGCAAUGGGCGGAAGCCUGACCCAGCAACGCUGCGUGGAGGAAGACGGCCUUCGGGUUGGUAAACUCCUUUUACGGGGAGAGGAAGGACGGUACCCCGAGAAUAAGUCACGGCUAACUACGUGCCAGCAGCCGCGGUAAU
RNAcentral lists this ribosomal RNA (477 nucleotides) under uncultured bacterium. RNAcentral's name for it is "bacterial SSU rRNA". It matches the Rfam family "Bacterial small subunit ribosomal RNA", at positions 28 to 524 of the family's 1533-position model. The record is from RNAcentral.